RNAcentral lists this ribosomal RNA (385 nucleotides) under uncultured bacterium. RNAcentral describes it as "bacterial SSU rRNA". It matches the Rfam family "Bacterial small subunit ribosomal RNA", at positions 370 to 772 of the family's 1533-position model. The record is from RNAcentral.
AAUGGGGGAAACCCUGAUGCAGCGACGCCGCGUGAACGAAGAAGCCUUUCGGGGUGUAAAGUUCUUUCGGCAGGGACGAUUAUGACUGUACCUGCAGAAGCAGCUGCGGCUAACUACGUGCCAGCAGCCGCGGUAAUACGUAGGCAGCAAGCGUUGUUCGGAAUUACUGGGCGUAAAGAGUGCGUAGGUGGUUGGCUAAGUUUGGUGUGAAAUCUCCCGGCUUAACUGGGAGGGUGCGCCGAAAACUGGCUGGCUAGAGUGUGGGAGAGGGAAGCGGAAUUCCUGGUGUAGCGGUGAAAUGCGUAGAUAUCAGGAGGAACGCCUGCGGUGUAGACGGCUUCCUGGACCAUGACUGACACUGAGGCACGAAAGCGUGGGUAGCAAA